Molecule: long non-coding RNA, 694 nt
Organism: Neltuma alba
Lineage: Eukaryota; Viridiplantae; Streptophyta; Magnoliopsida; Fabales; Fabaceae
Exons: 2
Source: RefSeq, a predicted model, not a curated record
CAAGUUGCCCAGUUCAAUUGGAUGCGUAGAAAUCCAAUGAACGAGGGCGAUGAUUUUGUGGGCGGCACGUGUGGCCGAUGACAGGGUGAGUUGUCGGAGAAGAGGAAUCAUUGCUUCGGCGACAGGAUAAUCGCCUCUAUCUCGAUCUGUUUUGCUUCAUCAUGAUAGUUCAGUAAAUUUAUCUGCCUCUCCCUUUCUGGACCUAGCUCUUCCCCGCCCUUGGCAGGAAUGAUCUCUUCUGCGUUCGAAGUAAGCGUUAUUCCUCAGCUACUAAACGCGCGAGCAGGUGGAAAGGAGGCUGGUUUUCAUUUACUGUGCUAAAAUUUAGCCAACCAAACGGGUACCUUGGCUGUGAGCGGCUCUCCUUGGAGUUGGAGGUCCUGUCGAAUGAUUUCAUCUAGAGAGAAUACAUUUUGGGGAUGGAUUUUCAUAUUACUUGGCUCUAUAUUCUUUGUUGCCUACUUAUUUGCUGCAAUUAUUUCCAAGCUUCUUCCGCCUUCAAAUAUAGCGUUAAUAUCUGCUAUGCAAAAUGACUGGUAUUACUGCUUCUUGGUGCCGUUGACUCUGCCUAUGGUUGUGGUUGCUGUAUACCUUCAUUGGCUCAGCAUGAAGAUGUUCAAGCAUGCUUAACUUCUAAUUACUAUCUGAUCAUUAUUUGGAGGCACACAGGAUUUUUUUUCUGCUUCGAAACGGG